CUAUGACAGUUGCAGUGUAUUCACCUGGCUCCCCAGACAGCUGGCAGGGCCUGGGGCUGGUUUCUCCCGGCUUCCUUCCCACCCCCUUGCCCUGGGCCGUCCUGAUUCUCAUCUGAGUGGCAGGGUCAGAUAUAUCUCAGUGGUGUGUCUCCUGGGUUCUUACCCUUCCCAGACAUGGAAGUGGAUAGAGGGCCAUGGAGGCGCAGGAACCAUGCCUUUCCCCACCCAAGGUGACCAGAGGCCAGUGGCAGAACCAAGAGAUGCUGCAGCUAGGGCCCCAGGGACCCCAGCCCCAUCUCCAUCCCCAGGCACUCCCAGAGUGUGAGCAUGAGGUAGAUGUGGACACCUGGUGAGAAGUGGUACUGAUUAGCACCCCCAUCCAUGGAUUCCAGGGCCCAGUCAUUGCAAGGGCAGUGUAGGGUGGGUGUGCAGUGGAACAAGGGUAGUGGUCUCCUGCCUCUAGCCUUCCAUCCCUGGAGCAGGUAGGCCUGUGGAGCAAGGAGGUUGUGGGCUGGGGUUGCUUGACAGGUGCUGUCCGUCCACGCUUCCUACUGGCUAGGCAAGAGUGCUGUUGGGCUCAGCUCUGGCACUUGUUAGAUGUGAGCAAUGGGCUAAUUUUAUCCAGCUGGGCUCUGCUCAGCAGGAAACCAAUGCUGUAGAGUACAUAGUUCUUCCAGGUGGCUUUGGCUAGAGGGAGGUCAGUCGCCAGUGAGGAGGUAGAAAUGCUGGGGCCUUGGUAUUGGAAGGGCCCUGGUGGUUCCUGUCUGGUCUCAAAGGCUCUGAGGUCAGUAAACUCUGAGCUGCUGGGAUCCAGGAGAAAAAAGUAUCUCAGAAAAAAAAAUAGUACAAAUUCUUUCUUGUUUUUUUUUUUCUCUUUGUUUUCUCCACCUCUGCUUCUUUCAUUCUGAAAUUCCCGAGUUCUAGCAAAGUGCCUGACACAUAGCAGGUCCCUAGAAAAUAGUUUUUUGACUUGAAAAUCAGCCAUGGACCUCUGCUUCUGGUGACCACUAGGGAGAGCUGAAAGGCAGGAAUUGAGGGCCUUCUAAAGCAAAACCUCCUAAAUCCCUGUAAGACUUGGAUAUCUAAUCCCUUUCUUUGUGCCUCUGGAGUCUCCUGUAUAUUUCAGCUCAUUAAAAUUUCAGAACUUCCUUCAAGGGUUCUAGUUCAAACCAGCACCCACUCUAUCUAGGCACCAGCUGUCAGACAUCAGGGAUUUCCUGGGGGAUCUGUUAUUCCUUUCAGGGGGCCUACUCUGCUGCUGUGGAGAAGUGGAGAGGAGCUGCUGGCUCCUUCUUCAGACAUGAAAAGGCCCUGGAGGAGAGCUUGUGAUCAUAAAAAGUAUGGGAUUCCAUGGCUUUGAAAUCUAAUGCUCUAAGUGAUCAAAAGACUGGGGUUUUGGGGCUACUAGAGGAGGGACUGAAGGGGCAGCGGAACUUGUGUGGGAGGGCCUAGAGCUAGGCAGCAAGGCAGAGUAAUUAGUCUCCUUGGGAGGAGACAAGGAGGCUGGCAGCCUGAGGAUUUCUGUACUGAGUCAGGGGAGAAAUGACAGUCACCAAGAGCAGAGUAGUAAACCCUCUCUUAGAGAAAACCAGCCCCCUCUCUUUACCCCUCCCGUGUUCAGUAUAUGACCACAGAGAGAUGGACUUUAUUUGUACCUUUUGGUUUCCUGGGGGUCAAAAGCAGUAGGUGGGACCAGCAUUCCAAGGCCAAGGCUGCAUGAAAGUCUGGAGUGCUUGGAAAGCAAGAACACCAGAAGUAUGUAUGUCCUCAUCUGUAAAAUAAGGGGUUUGAACUGGCCCAGAAGUUCAUGUCUUGGCAUGCUCUGUCACUGAUGAACUAUGUGAACCUGCUCAGUCCCUUGCUUUCUCCAGGCCUCAGUUUCCCCAUUAAAUUCAAUGCAGAGGAUGGACAAAGGUACUCUCAGCUUUGUCAUUUGUUGUAGGUCUCUCUCCUUCAUCACCCUCAAUUCCAGGGUCUGUUGCUGUCUGGCUGUUACUCAGCUAUACCAGUCCCUUCACAUUCUCCCAUAGAUAACAAGGGAGAGAAUUAAAAUGGAUUGUUGCUAAGGUCUUUGUCCAUUCUCAACAUGGCAUGUAUGUAGCAAGGUGGUAGCCUUGGUAAGGCCUCCACUUGGCUUCAGCUACUGUGUUCUCAUCUUGUAAAGUCACUACUUUUCCACUUCAGGGCUCCCUAAAAAUCUAAUCCUGAAUAGUCCAUCCGUCUCCAAGCCCCUUUUAUAUAUAGCUCCUUUUCCAAUUUCUGCUCUCACAGAGAGUAAAGACCCUGGCCGAAAUUUUAUUUGAAAUGAGAUUUCAGUUUUGAAGCCAAACUUCCCACUGUUAACUAGAUUAAAACUAUUUUACCCUAUAGGCAACACACACACCAAAUCUAGAUUUUUAGAUCUGUUUAUUUUGUUCCAAACCUUUUGAGGAUUUAAAUGUCUCAGAUCUCAAGCUCCCAAAUUUUGUUCGUUCUCCUAGAUUUAACUGUGCUGCAUUAGAGGCUGCAUCAUACCCUAAAUAUUAAUACUGAGCUGCGUUCACCAACCAACAUUCUCUCCAAAAGCACACAAGCUCACACAUGUACAUGCACAUAUGUGGAAGAAAUAAACUGACACCCCAACUAUGUUAUGUGAUAACUGAUAGGGCAGAUUUGGGACCUGUGAAUGUCUUUCCUUCAUCUGGAGAGAAGUGGUUGGCAGCCUGAUUUUUAAGAGCUAUCUUCACCUUGAGCAACAAAGGAGGCCCUGGAGACUGCCCUCCUAUGACUUGGUGGGGGAGGGACAGGAGAAAUGGGAGCAGGGGUUUUGUUGCUCCAAUAUUUUCAAUGGUCUCUCCUUGGAGUUACAAGGCUCCUGGGGCCCAGCUUCCCCUGUCCCAUGCUAUUUGAGCCAGGAGGAUAAUUAGGUCCCUUACUACCCACAGGGCUAAGAGCCAGUGAGUUUUCCUUUGGGAAGUUAAUAAAAGCAGGACGUUGGCCUUGAAUGAGGCCAUCAUAAGCCAACCAUGCCCCAGCUGCCUGUUUGUAAUGGAAAAUGUUAUGGUUAGGGACCACUAUUUUCUUUGGAGCCCCUCAUAGGGAACCUCCUCAUCCUCCUGACCCUGGAUGCUCUGAGUUAGGGUGGCAAGUCACUGUUAGCUCCAAGUAACAACCAAGGAUGCCUGAUAAGAAGGUGAUAAAAAAAAUUAGGGUAACAGGAGCACAACAGACAAAGGCCCAGAAUAGAGAGAAAGAAAUACAAAGAGACCAAGUAAGGAGAGAGACUGAGCUCCUAAGGAGGUGAGUUGAGCUAACUUGGACACAGCCUGGCUGGAAAUGCUCUUCAGCAAGAGUGUUGCCCAAAAUCUGAACAUAGGUAAGCAUCUGGCACCUAUUUCAGGGGGAUUAAGAUGGUCCAGAGUCUACCUUUCCUGGCACCUUUAAUGUCCAGAGUGGCUCAGGAUGCCCAGCAUGGGAGACAUACUGGGUGGUAAAGGUUAAGAUUUCCUCUUUCUAAAAGAAACUGUUAAAUCCUACAUGCAGCUACCACUUCUACCUUUUGGGGAUCCAGGUAGGGAAUGGGAUUUUCCCUAAAACAGUCCCUUUCCUGCCCUGCCCCAGGUGGAAAGAUUAACCUAUCAUGACUAAUGAGAAAUGGAGGAGUUGGUCCUUUGCCAGGUCAAUAACUAUUGCCCCUCCCCCAACCAUGCCCUUCCCCGUCAUCAGUCGCUCCUCUGCCUGCUGAGAUGAAAGUAAUUUCUUCGCAUUUUGACAGGUGAAUACACAGAUGGGGAGCUGGAAGUGCCUGCAGGUUAAUGCACUGGCCUGGGAAAUCUGUAAAAAUCAGGUAUCAACAAUGCUCUUCUUGGAGAGUGGAGAAGGAAACUGAGAGUAUUGAAAGACUGCAAGCCAACAUUUUUGCCUGCUACCUGCUGGAAGUAAGCCUCACUGGCCCGGUCCUAGGAUUUGACUUUAAUCAAAUCUCUUCUACAGGCUCAGUUCAGAAGCCAAUAGAGAAGAAGGGGUGUGUCUCCAAAAAUACCUGGAAAGAAGCCAGAAAUAUUAAACAGCCUUGGGUUCAGCUGACUUCUUUUUCAACAUAAGAUUCCCUCAGGAAUCCUGUAAGAUCUCUCCUUUGAACAUGUUCCAAGUCUUC
This is a long non-coding RNA of Canis lupus familiaris (dog), 4135 nucleotides long. RefSeq lists it as uncharacterized. The record is from RefSeq and is a predicted model, not a curated record. NCBI's taxonomy places the organism in Eukaryota, Metazoa, Chordata, Mammalia, Carnivora, Canidae. The transcript has 4 exons.